GCUGGGGAGUACGGCCGCAAGGUAAAAUCAAAGGAAUUGACGGGGCCCGCACAAGGGGGAGCAUGGGUUAAUUCGAUGCAACGCGAAGAACCUUACCAAGGCUUGACAUGUUCUCGAUCGCCGUAGAGUACGUUUCCCCUUUGGGGCGGUUCACAGGUGGUGCAUGGUGUCGUCAGCUCGUGUCGUGAGAUGUUGGGUUAAGUCCCGCAACGAGCGCAACCCUCGUUCCAUGUUGCCAGCACGUAGUGGUGGGGACUCAUGGGAGACUGCCGGGGUCAACUCGGAGGAAGGUGAGGACGACGUCAAAUCAUCAUGCCCCUUAUGUCUUGGGCUUCACGCAUGCUACAAUGGCCGGUACAAUGGGUUGCGAUACUGUGAGGUGGAGCUAAUCCCAAAAAGCCGGUCUCAGUUCGGAUUGGGGUCUGCAACUCGACCCCAUGAAGUGGAGUCGCUAGUAAUCGCAGAUCAGCAACGCUGCGGUGAAUACGUUCCCGGGCCUUGUACACACCGCCCGUCAAGUCACGAAAGUUGGUAACACCCGAAGCCGGUGGCCUAACCCUUGUGGGGGGAGCCGUCGAAGGUGGGACCAGCGAUUG
Molecule: ribosomal RNA, 596 nt
Filed under: Micrococcus sp. NASA2-21
Lineage: Bacteria; Bacillati; Actinomycetota; Actinomycetes; Micrococcales; Micrococcaceae
Description: bacterial SSU rRNA
Rfam family: Bacterial small subunit ribosomal RNA
Source: RNAcentral